RNAcentral lists this ribosomal RNA (497 nucleotides) under uncultured bacterium. RNAcentral's name for it is "partial 16S ribosomal RNA". It matches the Rfam family "Bacterial small subunit ribosomal RNA", at positions 28 to 507 of the family's 1533-position model. The record is from RNAcentral.
GACGAACGCUGGCGGCGUGCCUAAUACAUGCAAGUAGAACGCUGAAGCGAGGAGCUUGCUCUUCUUGGAUGAGUUGCGAACGGGUGAGUAACGCGUAGGUAACCUGCCUUGUUGCGGGGGAUAACUAUUGGAAACGAUAGCUAAUACCGCAUAACAAUGGAUGACACAUGUCAUUUAUUUGAAAGGGGCAAUUGCUCCACUACAAGAUGGACCUGCGUUGUAUUAGCUAGUAGGUGAGGUAACGGCUCACCUAGGCGACGAUACAUAGCCGACCUGAGAGGGUGAUCGGCCACACUGGGACUGAGACACGGCCCAGACUCCUACGGGAGGCAGCAGGAGGGAAUCUUCGGCAAUGGGGGCAACCCUGACCGAGCAACGCCGCGUGAGUGAAGAAGGUUUUCGGAUCGUAAAGCUCUGUUGUAAGUCAAGAACGAGUGUGAGAGUGGAAAGUUCACACUGUGACGGUAGCUUACCAGAAAGGGACGGCUAACUACGUG